RNAcentral lists this long non-coding RNA (511 nucleotides) under Mytilus galloprovincialis (Mediterranean mussel). The record is from RNAcentral. Lineage: Eukaryota; Metazoa; Mollusca; Bivalvia; Mytilida; Mytilidae.
GGGGGGGUGGCUAGGGUGAAAUUUGAAAAAAUAGGCAGGACAGGAGUUUUGAGUAAAAAAAAAGGCAGGAUGAGACACUUGCAAAAAAACAAAAGUCAGGACGACAAUUUAGGUAAAAAAAAGUCAGGAUAAACUAAAAAAAAAAAGGCAGGACCGAACAGAGUGAAAAAUAAAAAGGCAGGAUAGAGAUUACAGCUAAAAAAAAAUGCAGGACAAAAUUUUUCAUCCUAGCCCCCCAUAAAAAUCAAAUGGUAGCUCCCUUAUUUAAGAAUUGAAUGCUUCUUUUUGUAACUUCAUUGGGGUGUAAAAGCGUUGACCGAAGUACAUUUUGUAUGAAGCGCUUCCGCGCUUCAUACUAAAAAUGUGCGCACGGUCAACGCUUUUACAACCCUAUGAAGUUACAAAAAGAAGCAUUUAAUACUUAUAAUUACAUUUUCUUAGCAAUGAUCAUGAAAACACGAAUGUUCUUAUUGUUUUUUUUAAUUCACAUGUGCACUUUAUUGUGGGACCA